Molecule: ribosomal RNA, 85 nt
Filed under: Escherichia coli
Lineage: Bacteria; Pseudomonadati; Pseudomonadota; Gammaproteobacteria; Enterobacterales; Enterobacteriaceae
Also listed under: 1 other name
Description: partial 23S ribosomal RNA
Source: RNAcentral
GGCCGGGUGUGUAAGCGCAGCGAUGCGUUGAGCUAACCGGUACUAAUGAACCGUGAGGCUUAACCUUACAACGCCGAAGGUGUUU